CCCAUUGUGAUGUCAUAGGCCCAUGCCCUGUGGCUACAUAAUCUCUCAUCCAGGCAGUUUACUGCAAUAACAUCUUGGGAGCGUCAGUGAAACAUUUAGAGACUACUAUAGGAUACUUACCUGUCCACUGAAGUUGCAGAAAUCCUCAGGAACAGGACUCUGGAGAGCUGCAGAAGUGUGACUUUACUAGCUGCAGACAUGCUGAACACCGGCUGCAGAGGCACUUCCUGAAGAACAAGCGGAGGGCAGUGCUGUAACUUCUGCCAUCCACAUUAAAGCAGCACAGCAUUCAUCUACAGGCGCCAUUUUCCCCACAAGAUAUGCACAGAUAUGCAUGUAGAGAAAUUACUGUGAAAAUGGUGCUGACGCCAUUGCUCUGGAAAUAUAAGUGUGAUCCGGCAGGUGAGUAGGGCCCACGCGGAGAGAGCACAUAAGCCCCCUGCUGUCUUAAAACACCCUGAAUAAGAAGCUAUAACUCAACAACAAAAAAUAAAGCAACCAUUCGUGAUAUCA
This is a long non-coding RNA of Pseudophryne corroboree (corroboree frog), 513 nucleotides long. RefSeq lists it as uncharacterized. The record is from RefSeq and is a predicted model, not a curated record. The transcript has 2 exons. NCBI's taxonomy places the organism in Eukaryota, Metazoa, Chordata, Amphibia, Anura, Myobatrachidae.